This 566-nucleotide ribosomal RNA is filed under the name Candida tropicalis. RNAcentral describes it as "partial large subunit ribosomal RNA". It matches the Rfam family "Eukaryotic large subunit ribosomal RNA", at positions 81 to 663 of the family's 3401-position model. Lineage: Eukaryota; Fungi; Ascomycota; Pichiomycetes; Serinales; Debaryomycetaceae. The record is from RNAcentral.
CAGUAGCGGCGAGUGAAGCGGCAAAAGCUCAAAUUUGAAAUCUGGCUCUUUCAGAGUCCGAGUUGUAAUUUGAAGAAGGUAUCUUUGGGUCUGGCUCUUGUCUAUGUUUCUUGGAACAGAACGUCACAGAGGGUGAGAAUCCCGUGCGAUGAGAUGAUCCAGGCCUAUGUAAAGUUCCUUCGAAGAGUCGAGUUGUUUGGGAAUGCAGCUCUAAGUGGGUGGUAAAUUCCAUCUAAAGCUAAAUAUUGGCGAGAGACCGAUAGCGAACAAGUACAGUGAUGGAAAGAUGAAAAGAACUUUGAAAAGAGAGUGAAAAAGUACGUGAAAUUGUUGAAAGGGAAGGGCUUGAGAUCAGACUUGGUAUUUUGUAUGUUACUUCUUCGGGGGUGGCCUCUACAGUUUAUCGGGCCAGCAUCAGUUUGGGCGGUAGGAGAAUUGCGUUGGAAUGUGGCACGGCUUCGGUUGUGUGUUAUAGCCUUCGUCGAUACUGCCAGCCUAGACUGAGGACUGCGGUUUAUACCUAGGAUGUUGGCAUAAUGAUCUUAAGUCGCCCGUCUUGAACCACG